CCUACGGGAGGCAGCAGUGGGGAAUAUUUCACAAUGGGGGAAACCCUGAUGCAGCGACGCCGCGUGAGCGAUGAAGUAUUUCGGUAUGUAAAGCUCUAUUAUCAGGGAAGAAAAUGACGGUAACUGACUAAGAAGCCCCGGCUAACUACGUGCCAGCAGCCGCGGUCAUACGUAGGGGGCAAGCGUUAUCCGGAUUUACUGGGUGUAAAGGGAGCGUAGACGGCUGUGCAAGCCAGAUGUGAAAGCCCGGGGCGAAACCCCGGGACUGCAUUUGGAACUGUGUGGCUGGAGUGUCGGAGAGGGAGGCGGAAUUCCUAGUGUAGCAGUGAAAUGCGUAGAUAUUAGGAGGAACACCAGUGGCGAAGGCGGCCUGCUGGACGAUGACUGACGUUGAGGCACGAAAGCGUGGGGAGCAAACGGGAUUAGAUACCCCAGUAGAC
Molecule: ribosomal RNA, 440 nt
Filed under: uncultured bacterium
Lineage: Bacteria
Description: partial 16S ribosomal RNA
Rfam family: Bacterial small subunit ribosomal RNA
Source: RNAcentral